Molecule: non-coding RNA, 453 nt
Organism: Zonotrichia albicollis (white-throated sparrow)
Lineage: Eukaryota; Metazoa; Chordata; Aves; Passeriformes; Passerellidae
Source: RefSeq, a predicted model, not a curated record
AAGUCAGGUGAGCUUAAGGAAAGGUCAGGAGAAAGAGCACUGAAGACUUGGGGAAAUUCAAUAGCAGGCAAGAUCUCCUCUUCUGCUUUAUUCAGUUUAAUGGAAGUGUAAAUAGCUGGACUCACCUCCUCCAGGCCAGACUUUUCAUGACCUAAAACUAAACUGCUGGAUCAGCAGCAGCUGACAGAGCCACUGGAUCCAUCAGCAAGGAUAUGCAGCCAGUCACUGGGAUAACAACUUUUGACAGAAAGUCACCCUGGUGUUGUCACUUGAAUCAAGAACUGAGGGAGCUGCUCUUGAAGUGUACAGGCCACUGUGUUUUCCUUCUUCAUAUCUGCCACAGAUGUGCCUUCCUCAGCUUCUGAAAUCAGCAGUUCAGCCCAACAUUGCUUCCUGACAGGCCCCCAGCACCCAGACCUGUGGUGCUGCUGGGAGAAGUCCUGCUCUUAGCAG